CAACGUGCUGGGAUUACAGGCAUGAGCCACCUCGUCCAGCCAAUUCACAUAAUCCUAAUGGUGAUGGGAGACUUUGGGGAAAAUGGAAAGCUCUCCUGAAGGCUUCAGGCAACAGAAAUACCCAGUCUCUACCCAGAUAUGCCAGGAGAACAGGCAGGAGCCAGGGCGCCGCUCACAAGUGCACAUGCAGUGUGGGAAGUGUCUGGGGUGUGUCUGCUCCAUGCUCACGGGCAUGCACGUGCAGUUGGGAGCCACACUCCCAACGGCUAAAGUCCCAGGUUCUGGACUCACUUAGACUUGGGUUCAAAUCCCAGCUAAGCCAUUUAAUAGCUGUGUGACCUUGAGCAAGUGACUUAACCUCAGCCUCAGUUUCCACAUCUGUAAAAUGGGAGACAGGAAGAACAGGCACCUCCUCAGUCAGGGCUGUGAAGAUUCGCAGAGGUGAGCAAGUGAGGCACUGGCACAUGAUUGGCACAGGAAUAAGUGCCCAUCAUGGCUCGAGGACCAGCUGCAGCCUUAUGCUGAGGCCUGGGGAUGCAACUAGGGGCUCAGCUUGGGCUGAAUGAAGACUCAGGAAUGUGAGCUUGGGAAGGGAUUUGCAGUCUGGAGAAGAGAGGGCCUGAGGCUGCAGCUCUGGGACACUAGGAAUGGCUCUUUCCCACGGAGGCUCCCAUGAUCAGGAGGCGACCCAGGGGAGGAAGGUCAGAGCCAGGGGUGACAGCCCCCACUGGAGGCCUUGUCUGAAGACUCAGGCUCUCCCCUUUCCUAGGGAUCCCCUCUCUAGCAUGGCCCUCAGUGAGGGGCCAUGGGAGGCAUCAGCUCAAGGACCCUAUGUCAUUCUGACCUGGUCCCCUGGGCCUUUCCCCGGCAUGGGGAUGAGGGUGAGGGAUCCUGCCCUCCUGAGAGAGCAGCGGGUGGGGAGGAGAGGACCCAUGCCCUGCCCUCAGCUUCUGGUCACGUGGGCUUCACCUCUCUGAGACCCAGGCACUUUGCCUCUAUGCUGGGGACUCAGAGUGGCGGUUCCCCAGUGCUGGUUCCAAACACAGAACAUGGAACAGACUCAUUGCUAAGGUGCCGCAGCCACUCAGGAGGUGGAAGCAAGACCGUGACCCUCGCUGGGAGGCAGCUGGCUUUGGCACCAUGCUUUAUCCCCAAACUUUAUCCCCUCAGACUCUCGGUCCCCUCUGCUAUGAGACAGGGGAGGGACGUGGACAAUGCAGAACCACUUCUGGGCUCAAGGCUGCACAAGGGCACACAGUGCCAGGCACAGGGGACGCUCUGUGACCAAGGCCAGGCAGAGAUGGUCCUGAGGGCACACUUCCCACCCACCCCAGCGCUCACAGGCUAUGAGUCAGCUGGGACCACCUGCAGGGGCUGGGAGGGGCUGCCAGGGAGAAGGGUUGAGCCAGCCACUCCCACCACCUCGGACUCGCUCGGAGACACACUGAUGAUGGUGCAAGAGAUGCUCUCAUGCGAGGGCUCCUGCAGGAUCCCUUCUGCUGCUGCACAAACAACAGAGCUUCGAUCCUCACAUGGCCCAGUGAUGAGUCGCCAUGAGCGUGCCCAUUCCACAGAGGAGAAAACUGAGGCUGGAAUAAACACACACACACACACACACACACACUCUCCACACCCACACCCACUACCAUCAUCUCUUCAUACUACACACACACUUAUAAAAAUGACCCCCCUCACAUGCCACAUACACACACUCAUAGUCACCCCACAUGCCACAUACUUAUAAAAGUCACCCCACACCACACACACACACUCACACACACACACCCAUAUAACAGUCACCCUACACACCACACACUCACAGUCACCCCACACACCAUACACACACACAGUCACCCCACACACCACACCUCAUAAGUCACCCCACAUACCACACACACACACACACUCAUAAAACAGUCACCCUACACACCUCACACCCAUAAGUCACACCACACACAUACUCAUAAGUCACCCCACACACCACACACUCAUAGUCACCCCACACACCAUACACACACACUCAAAUAGUCACCCUACACACC
Aotus nancymaae (Ma's night monkey) is the source of this 2042-nucleotide long non-coding RNA. Lineage: Eukaryota; Metazoa; Chordata; Mammalia; Primates; Aotidae. The record is from Ensembl.